GACGAAGGAUGCAAGCGUUAUCCGGAUUCAUUGGGUUUAAAGGGUGCGUAGGCGGCCCGGUAAGUCAGUGGUGAAAUCUCCUUGCUUAACAAGGAAACUGCCAUUGAUACUGCUGGGCUUGAGUACAGAUGCUGUGGGCGGAAUAUGACAUGUAGUGGUGAAACACAUAGAGAUGUCAUAGAACACCGAUUGCGAAGGCAGCUCACAAAACUGUAACUGACGCUGAGGCACGAAAGUGCGGGGAUCAAACAGG
RNAcentral lists this ribosomal RNA (253 nucleotides) under uncultured bacterium. RNAcentral describes it as "partial 16S ribosomal RNA". It matches the Rfam family "Bacterial small subunit ribosomal RNA", at positions 524 to 776 of the family's 1533-position model. The record is from RNAcentral.